GCCUGGGUGGCUCAGUUGGUUGAGCGUCCGACUUCGGCUCAGAUCAUGAUCUCACAGCUCGUGGGUUCAAGUCCUGCGUCGGGCU
Transfer RNA from Felis catus (domestic cat), 85 nucleotides. It matches the Rfam family "tRNA". Rfam says of the family: Transfer RNA (tRNA) molecules are approximately 80 nucleotides in length. Their secondary structure includes four short double-helical elements and three loops (D, anti-codon, and T loops). Further hydrogen bonds mediate the characteristic L-shaped molecular structure. tRNAs have two regions of fundamental functional importance: the anti-codon, which is responsible for specific mRNA codon recognition, and the 3' end, to which the tRNAs corresponding amino acid is attached (by aminoacyl-tRNA synthetases). tRNAs cope with the degeneracy of the genetic code in two manners: having more than one tRNA (with a specific anti-codon) for a particular amino acid; and 'wobble' base-pairing, i.e. permitting non-standard base-pairing at the 3rd anti-codon position. NCBI's taxonomy places the organism in Eukaryota, Metazoa, Chordata, Mammalia, Carnivora, Felidae. The record is from Rfam.